CUCAAAUUCUGUCAUUCUAGUCAGAAGGCUGGUAACUCUGGUCCUAUCCUGAGAGUUUUCAAAUGAGAUAUAAAGAAGAAAAGCAGUCUUUUUCACAAUGAAGAGAUGAGACAUCAAAAGUCAGGUUCUUCAGAACAGAAGGUUGCCGUGUCUAGUAAGAGAAAGCUGACUCAGAGGAGCAGAAAUGAGAGCUGGCUGGAGAGAGUUUAGUGAUGUCUCUGUUCCUGUGAUCCUGGAAGUCCAGCUGAAUCCACGCCCUUCCUGAGAUUUUCCUGCUCAGGACCUUAUUUCCUUGACCAGAGAUUGAACCCAUAAUCACUGCGGUAGAAGCACAGAAUCCU
Bos taurus (domestic cattle) is the source of this 341-nucleotide long non-coding RNA. NCBI's taxonomy places the organism in Eukaryota, Metazoa, Chordata, Mammalia, Artiodactyla, Bovidae. The record is from Ensembl.